UACCUGGUUGAUUCUGCCAGUAGUCAUAUGCUUGUCUCAAAGAUUAAGCCAUGCAUGUCUAAGUAUAAGCAAUUAUACCGCGAAACUGCGAAUGGCUCAUUAAAUCAGUUAUCGUCUAUUUGAUAGUACCUUACUACUUGGAUAACCGUGGUAAUUCUAGAGCUAAUACAUGCUGAAAACCCCGACUUCGGAAGGGAUGUAUUUAUUAGAUUAAAAACCAAUGCCCUUCGGGGCUCCCUGGUGAUUCAUAAUAACUGCUCGAAUCGCACGGCCUUGCGCCGGCGAUGGUUCAUUCAAAUUUCUGCCCUAUCAACUUUCGACGGCUGGGUCUUGGCCAGCCAUGGUGACAACGGGUAACGGAGGGUUAGGGCUCGACCCCGGAGAAGGAGCCUGAGAAACGGCUACUACAUCCAAGGAAGGCAGCAGGCGCGCAAAUUACCCAAUCCCGACGCGGGGAGGUAGUGACAAUAAAUACUGAUACAGGGCUCUUUUGGGUCUUGUAAUUGGAAUGAGUACAAUUUAAUUCCCUUAACGAGGAACAAUUGGAGGGCAAGUCUGGUGCCAGCAGCCGCGGUAAUUCCAGCUCCAAUAGCGUAUAUUAAAGUUGUUGCAGUUAAAAAGCUCGUAGUUGAACCUUGGGCCUGGCUGGCCGGUCCGCCUCACCGCGUGCACUGGUCCGGCCGGGCCUUUCCCUCUGGGGAGCCGCAUGCCCUUCACUGGGCGUGCCGGGGAACCAGGACGUUUACUUUGAAAAAAUUAGAGUGUUCAAAGCAGGCUUAUGCUCGGAUACAUUAGCAUGGAAUAAUAGAAUAGGACGCGCGGUUCUAUUUUGUUGGUUUCUAGGACCGCCGUAAUGAUUAAUAGGGACAGUCGGGGGCAUCAGUAUUCAAUUGUCAGAGGUGAAAUUCUUGGAUCUAUUGAAGACUAACUACUGCGAAAGCAUUUGCCAAGGAUGUUUUCAUUAAUCAGGAACGAAAGUUAGGGGAUCGAAGACGAUCAGAUACCGUCGUAGUCUUAACCAUAAACUAUGCCGACUAGGGAUCGGACGGUGUUAUUUUUUGACCCGUUCGGCACCUUACACGAAAGUACAAGUUUCUGGGUUCUGGGGGGAGUAUGGUCGCAAGGCUGAAACUUAAAGAAAUUGACGGAAGGGCACCACCAGGGGUAAACACUUGAUUGUUUCGCCGCAGUUAACUCUGCCCCGGAAAGCCGCCCGAAAGGGUCGGUGGUGCCCCGCUGGCUAGUCGACGCCCCCCGGGCGGGGGGCGGCGGCGACAUCCUCAAAGUGCGGGGAACCCCUAAAGCUCCUGCUCCAAAGCCGGCCCGCGAAAGCAGCCGGUGGCCAGGCGAAAGGCCUCGGGUACUGGAACAACGCAGGAGAUGCUACAAUGGGCAAUCCGCAGCCAAGCCCCUACGUGCGCCGUUCUGGCCGCAUACGGGGAAGGUUCAGAGACUUGACGGGGAUGGGUGGGUCGCCUGGCGGGGGUGUUCAGCCCUGCGUCCAGGCGGUCGUGCUUAAGGUAAAGUCCGGCCCCGCGGGAGACCGCGGGGGUGUCCUAACAGGCCUUCCAACGGGAGCCUGCGGCUUAAUUUGACUCAACACGGGGAAACUCACCAGGUUAACUUCGCGGUUACGCGUCUGGGCCUGGAAUAGUGAGCGGUCCGCCCGGCGGCGGGCCGUCUUGCUAGUGCCGACUUUGCCUACGUGGGGGGAGCCCCCCGACUCAGGGCGUAGGAGGCAGCCCCGGCAGGGGCUGCUGUGUCGGCGCGACACCAGCUGGUACAGGGGACGCCUAGCCGGGCCCGCGAGGACCCGGCGGCCAAUCCUGUGGCGAGUCCAGGUAGCGCUGGACCGUCGCAACGCACGCUAAGCGGUGGGCUGACGCGAGUCGGCUUAAGGUACGUGCUCAUCCCGCGGGGAACCGUGGCCGUCCUGACUAGUUCCGAGUUUUACGAAGCAGGGCGGGGGCCCGCCGGCUGGGGCGGCGGGCCUGUUGGUGGUGGCUGUUGCUCCGGGGGCUUCGCGUCAGCGGUUGUUCGUGCCCCGACCGGCGCACGGGGGGACGCUGACGCGGGGUUGUCGGGCUGCGGGCGCCACACGAUAGUGCCAGACACGAUGAGGAUUGACAGAUUGAGAGCUCUUUCUUGAUUUCGUGGGUGGUGGUGCAUGGCCGUUCUUAGUUGGUGGAGUGAUUUGUCUGCCUAAUCGCGAUAACGAACGAGACCUUAACCUGCUAAAUAGCCCGCGUUGCUCUGGCAGCGCGCCGGCUUCUUAGAGGGACUAUCGGCUCAAGCCGAUGGAAGUUUGAGGCAAUAACAGGUUAACCUUCACAGGCCUGUAACAGUGGUCCUCGCUAAAGAAACAACCGCUAGUCCAGCUGUCCUAGUCUCCUCGGGGAAGCACCCCGCUAUCGGGAGGAGAGGGGCCCGCCGUCGUACGGGCCCCGGACGCGGGCGACACCACCUGGUACAGGGAACGCCUACCCGCCCUUCGGGGCGGCGGCCGAUCCUGUGGCGAGCUCGGGCAGCGCCGAGCCGUCGCAACGUGCGGAAAGGGGUGGGCUGGCACACGCCGGCUUAAGGUACGUACUAAUCCCUGGGGAAACCCAGCUCCUGCAAUAAGGUCCGAUAAACCGAGGUGCAGGGGGGCCGGCAGCGCUGCCGGCUGGCUCCCUCUAUGGCGGUCCCCGCGCUGGGCGUCCGCCGGGGGAGAGAAUGCUGUGAUGCCCUUAGAUGUUCUGGGCCGCACGCGCGUUACACUGACAGAGCCAGCGAGUUCUUCCUUGGCCGAAAGGCCCGGGUAAUCUUGUGAAACUCUGUCGUGCUGGGGAUAGAGCAUUGCAAUUAUUGCUCUUCAACGAGGAAUCCCUAGUAAGCGCAAGUCAUCAACUUGCGUUGAUUACGUCCCUGCCCUUUGUACACACCGCCCGUCGCUACUACCGAUUGAAUGGCUCAGUGAGGCUUCCGGACUGGCCCAGGGGGGUGGGCAACUACCCCCCAGGGCCGGAAAGCUAUCCAAACUCGGUCAUUUAGAGGAAGUAAAAGUCGUAACAAGGUCUCCGUUGGUGAACCAGCGGAGGGAUCAUUA
Molecule: ribosomal RNA, 3088 nt
Rfam family: Eukaryotic small subunit ribosomal RNA
Source: Rfam